AUGGAGACAGACACACUCCUGCUAUGGGUGCUGCUGCUCUGGGUUCCAGGCUCCACUGGUGAUAUUGUGCUGACACAACCUUCAGCUUCCUUGGCUGUGUCUCUAGGACAAAGGGCCACCAUCUCCUGCAAGGCCAGCAAAAGUCUCAAUGUUCUUCUUUCUACAAGUGCUCUGAAUUGGUAUGAAGAGAAACCAGGACAACAGUUGAAACUACUCAUCUACAGUGCAUCCAACCUAGAAUCUGGGGUCCCUGCCAGGUUCAGUGGCAGUGGGUCUGAGAUGGACUUCACCCUCACCAUGGAUCCUGUGGAGGAUGAUAACACUGCACCCUAUUACUGUCAGCACAGUAGAGAGCUUCCUCCCACAGUGCUCCAGGGCUGA
Mus pahari (shrew mouse) is the source of this 381-nucleotide non-coding RNA. NCBI's taxonomy places the organism in Eukaryota, Metazoa, Chordata, Mammalia, Rodentia, Muridae. The record is from the annotation of a RefSeq genome assembly.